This 253-nucleotide ribosomal RNA is filed under the name uncultured bacterium. RNAcentral describes it as "partial 16S ribosomal RNA". It matches the Rfam family "Bacterial small subunit ribosomal RNA", at positions 524 to 776 of the family's 1533-position model. The record is from RNAcentral.
UACGAAGGGGGCUAGCGUUGCUCGGAAUCACUGGGCGUAAAGCGCGCGUAGGCGGAUCGUUAAGUCGGGGGUGAAAUCCUGGAGCUCAACUCCAGAACUGCCUUUGAUACUGGCGAUCUUGAGUCCGGGAGAGGUGAGUGGAACUCCGAGUGUAGAGGUGAAAUUCGUAGAUAUUCGGAAGAACACCAGUGGCGAAGGCGACUCACUGGACAUGUAUUGACGCUGAGGUGCGAAAGCGUGGGGAGCAAACAGG